GACGAACGCUGGCGGCGUGCCUAAUACAUGCAAGUAGAACGCUGAAGGAGGAGCUUGCUUCUCUGGAUGAGUUGCGAACGGGUGAGUAACGCGUAGGUAACCUGCCUGGUAGCGGGGGAUAACUAUUGGAAACGAUAGCUAAUACCGCAUAACAGUAGAUAUCGCAUGAUAUCUACUUGAAAGGUGCAAUUGCAUCACUACCAGAUGGACCUGCGUUGUAUUAGCUAGUUGGUGAGGUAACGGCUCACCAAGGCGACGAUACAUAGCCGACCUGAGAGGGUGAUCGGCCACACUGGGACUGAGACACGGCCCAGACUCCUACGGGAGGCAGCAGUAGGGAAUCUUCGGCAAUGGACGGAAGUCUGACCGAGCAACGCCGCGUGAGUGAAGAAGGUUUUCGGAUCGUAAAGCUCUGUUGUAAGAGAAGAACGAGUGUGAGAGUGGAAAGUUCACACUGUGACGGUAUCUUACCAGAAAGGGACGGCGAACUACGU
Molecule: ribosomal RNA, 494 nt
Filed under: uncultured bacterium
Lineage: Bacteria
Description: partial 16S ribosomal RNA
Rfam family: Bacterial small subunit ribosomal RNA
Source: RNAcentral